GCAGAUCUGCAGAAUCCAGGAGAGCUUUGGUUGAUACAGUAAGGAGGUCAGAGAAUUGGUAGUUUCAAUUGUGUCUGGCGUACUGUAAGUCAAUAUCUUCGAUAGUGAAUAUCUACUGGCUUGUGCCCGGAGUUUUUACCCAGUUGGGUUUUCUCCGUCAACAUUUUGUGGUGUUUUUAUUGUUUUUACUAUUUUUCGUUAUUUACUUUUCAACCGAAAAUUCAACUUAGGUAGAUAAAAGUAUGUGAAUGAAUCUAGGCAAUGCUUAAU
This 270-nucleotide long non-coding RNA is filed under the name Olea europaea (common olive). Its description in RNAcentral is "long non-coding RNA (OEUR_LNC005746)". The record is from RNAcentral. Lineage: Eukaryota; Viridiplantae; Streptophyta; Magnoliopsida; Lamiales; Oleaceae.